This 409-nucleotide ribosomal RNA is filed under the name Amblyomma triste. RNAcentral describes it as "partial 16S ribosomal RNA". The record is from RNAcentral. Lineage: Eukaryota; Metazoa; Arthropoda; Arachnida; Ixodida; Ixodidae.
AGUAUUUUGACUAUACAAAGGUAUUGAAAUAAGACUUUAAUUGAGUGCUAAGAGAAUGGAAUUUCAUAAAAUUUCUUUUUUAAUUUUAAAAAUUGAAAUUAAUUUUAUAUGUGAAGAAACAAUAAUAAAAAUUAAGGACAAGAAGACCCUAAGAAUUUUAAAGAUUUCAAUAAAAUUUUGUAUUUUAUUGAAAUCUUUUAAUUGGGGCGAUUAUUAAAUAUUAAAAACUUUAAUUUUUUUAAAAAAGAACCAAUAAUAUUGGUUAUUUGAAAAAAUACUCUAGGGAUAACAGCGUAAUAAUUUUUGAUAGUUCUUAUAGACAAAAUAGUUUGCGACCUCGAUGUUGGAUUAGGAUUCUUUUUUAAUGAAGAAGUUAAAAAAAGAAGUUUGUUCAACUUUUAAAAUCCUA